RNAcentral lists this long non-coding RNA (466 nucleotides) under Calidris pugnax (ruff). RNAcentral's name for it is "lncRNA (ENSCPUG00000000366.1)". The record is from RNAcentral. Lineage: Eukaryota; Metazoa; Chordata; Aves; Charadriiformes; Scolopacidae.
AGAGGUCGGGGACAGAUUUGGGGUCCUGGCACGUGCUGCACUUGUGUCCAGCUGCCCCACAGCUCUGCUGGCCCAUUGGGCGAGUUCCAGGGGAGAGCGGGGUCCCAAGCAAGGCUGGCUGCCCUAUCCUAGUCCUGCAAGUCAGCUGGAGAUGCUGAUUUGGAAGCUUUUGGGGCUCUGCUCGAUUUCCUGUCUGCAGAGCGACAGCUGGGAUGGGAGGAAUUGUUUCUCACCCUCAUGGGUGUCUCGGAGAAGUACUGCCUCCUGAAGGUGCCACCUCCCUGCUGGGGAAGGCUUCCAUCUGACCCAACUGUCCCGCUUCCUUUCCCUAGUGAUGGCCCAAGAGGCUGUGCAGGAGGUGGCGUUUCCAGAAGAACACAGCAACUCCCUGCCAGUCCCGGGUGGAGCGACAGAGGCCAUGCCAGUGCUGUCAGAGCCCAGAAAAGCCAAAGUAUACGACAUUUCU